RNAcentral lists this ribosomal RNA (406 nucleotides) under uncultured bacterium. RNAcentral describes it as "partial 16S ribosomal RNA". It matches the Rfam family "Bacterial small subunit ribosomal RNA", at positions 30 to 526 of the family's 1533-position model. The record is from RNAcentral.
AUUGAACGCUGGCGGCAUGCCUAACACAUGCAAGUCGAACGAGUGGCGGACGGGUGAGUAAUGUCUGGGAAACUGCCUGAUGGAGGGGGAUAACUACUGGAAACGGUAGCUAAUACCGCAUACCAUCGGAUGUGCCCAGAUGGGAUUAGCUAGUAGGUGGGGUAAAGGCUCACCUAGGCGACGAUCCCUAGCUGGUCUGAGAGGGUGACCAGCCACACUGGGAAGGGGACACGGUCCAGACUCCCACGGGAGGCAGCAGGGGGGAAUAUGCCACAAUGGGCGCAUGCCUGAUGCAGCCAUGCCGCGUGUAUGAAGAAGGCCUUCGGGUUUUAAAGUACUUUCAGCGGGGAGGCGUUACCCGCAGAAGAAGCACCGGCUAACUCCGUGCCAGCAGCCGCGGUAAUUC